Molecule: long non-coding RNA, 296 nt
Organism: Gopherus evgoodei (Goodes thornscrub tortoise)
Lineage: Eukaryota; Metazoa; Chordata; Testudines; Testudinidae
Exons: 5
Source: RefSeq, a predicted model, not a curated record
CAGAGUGGCAAGGGGGGAGGAGUUUCCUACUGGCUGCUCCCGAGCCGAAGGAGCCGCCUUCGCAUUAAGGCCACGCGCUGGUUCGGCGCAAGCCUGGUUGGUAACGGCUGACGCUUCGGGGCCGGGAGCUUUCUCCCCCUUAAUUCAGAUCAUAAGCCACAAGGGUAGAUAUUUUAAGAAGGAGAUUGACACUAAGACUGACUCAAAGAGUCCUCCAGCGAAACUUAAGUCAGCAUUCUUUCAGCAUCAGUAAAAUGGAGUUAGAAGACAACUAUGCUGGUGCGUUGGAUCCAGAA